UACAGAGGUCCCGAGCGUUGUUCGGAUUCACUGGGCUUAAAGGGUGCGUAGGCGGCUUUGCAAGUUGGGUGUGAAAGCCCUCGGCUCAACCGAGGAAUUGCGCUCAAUACUGCCGAGCUCGAGAGAGACAGAGGUAAGCGGAACUAAUGGUGGAGCGGUGAAAUGCGUUGAUAUCAUUAGGAACACCGGUGGCGAAGGCGGCUUACUGGGUCUUUUCUGACGCUGAGGCACGAAAGCCAGGGGAGCGAACGGG
RNAcentral lists this ribosomal RNA (253 nucleotides) under uncultured bacterium. RNAcentral describes it as "partial 16S ribosomal RNA". It matches the Rfam family "Bacterial small subunit ribosomal RNA", at positions 524 to 776 of the family's 1533-position model. The record is from RNAcentral.